This 496-nucleotide ribosomal RNA is filed under the name uncultured bacterium. RNAcentral's name for it is "partial 16S ribosomal RNA". It matches the Rfam family "Bacterial small subunit ribosomal RNA", at positions 28 to 506 of the family's 1533-position model. The record is from RNAcentral.
GAUGAACGCUGGCGGCGUGCCUAAUACAUGCAAGUCGAGCGAACGGACGAGAAGCUUGCUUCUCUGAUGUUAGCGGCGGACGGGUGAGUAACACGUGGAUAACCUACCUAUAAGACUGGGAUAACUUCGGGAAACCGGAGCUAAUACCGGAUGAUAUUUUGAACCGCAUGGUUCAAAAGUGAAAGACGGUCUUGCUGUCACUUAUAGAUGGAUCCGCGCUGCAUUAGCUAGUUGGUAAGGUAACGGCUUACCAAGGCAACGAUGCAUAGCCGACCUGAGAGGGUGAUCGGCCACACUGGAACUGAGACACGGUCCAGACUCCUACGGGAGGCAGCAGUAGGGAAUCUGCCGCAAUGGGCGAAAGCCUGACGGAGCAACGCCGCGUGAGUGAUGAAGGUCUUCGGAUCGUAAAACUCUGUUAUUAGGGAAGAACAUAUGUGUAAGUAACUGUGCACAUCUUGACGGGACCUAAUCAGAAAGCCACGGCUAACUACGU